GUGCACCAGGCGCGAAUCCUCCGCAAUGCUCGAAAGAGCGACGGGGACUCCAAGUGCCUACGCUCAGCGUAGGCUGUUCCCGAGCCUAAAAGCUCAGGGAGUAAGGGCUGGGUAAGACGGGUGCCAGCCGCCGCGGUAAUACCCGCAGCCCGAGUGGUGGCCGCUAUUAUUGGGCCUAAAGCGUCCGUAGCCGGCUCGGUAAAUGCCUGGGUAAAUCGUCUGGCCCAACCAGACGAAUUCCGGGUAGACUGCCGGGCUAGGGACCGGAGGAGGGAGAGGGUACUCCAGGGGUAGGGUGAAAUCAGCAAGGUGAGUUGCUGAUGUAACUUGCCUUGCAAGUCACAAUCC
Molecule: ribosomal RNA, 348 nt
Filed under: uncultured microorganism
Description: bacterial SSU rRNA
Rfam family: Archaeal small subunit ribosomal RNA
Source: RNAcentral